This 198-nucleotide small nuclear RNA is filed under the name Carlito syrichta (Philippine tarsier). Its description in RNAcentral is "U2 spliceosomal RNA (ENSTSYG00000030864.1)". The stretch from base 1 to 147 matches the Rfam family "U2 spliceosomal RNA". From Rfam's summary of the family: U2 is a small nuclear RNA (snRNA) component of the spliceosome (involved in pre-mRNA splicing). Complementary binding between U2 snRNA (in an area lying towards the 5' end but 3' to hairpin I) and the branchpoint sequence (BPS) of the intron results the bulging out of an unpaired adenosine, on the BPS, which initiates a nucleophilic attack at the intronic 5' splice site, thus starting the first of two transesterification reactions that mediate splicing. The record is from Rfam by way of RNAcentral. Lineage: Eukaryota; Metazoa; Chordata; Mammalia; Primates; Tarsiidae.
AUUGAUUCUCGGCCUUUUGGCAGAGAUGAAGUAUAGCAUCUGUUUUCAGUUUCGUAUCUGCUACGUCUUCUAUCCGAGGGCCAUAUAGCAAAUGAGGUUUUGGAGCAGGGAAGCUGAUGCAGCACCUCCAGGAAUGCCACACCCUCCCCUGCCAAGAAAAGACUUCACAUGCCACUUUACAGACACUAUUCACAGUGU